RNAcentral lists this unclassified non-coding RNA (332 nucleotides) under soil metagenome. RNAcentral's name for it is "partial contains 5.8S ribosomal RNA, internal transcribed spacer 2, and large subunit ribosomal RNA". The stretch from base 2 to 119 matches the Rfam family "5.8S ribosomal RNA", at positions 37 to 154 of the family's 154-position model. The record is from RNAcentral.
GUGAAGAACGUAGCGAAAUGCGAUAAGUAAUGUGAAUUGCAGAAUUCAGUGAAUCAUCGAAUCUUUGAACGCACAUUGCGCCCGCCAGUAUUCUGGCGGGCAUGCCUGUUCGAGCGUCAUUUCAACCAUCAAGCCCCGGGCUUGUGUUGGGGACCUGCGGCUGCCGCAGGCCCUGAAAUGCAGUGGCGGGCUCGCUGUCACUCCGAGCGUAGUAAUACAUCUCGCUCUGGACGUGCUGCGGGUUCCGGCCGUUAAAAGCCUUAUUUACCCAAGGUUGACCUCGGAUCAGGUAGGAAGACCCGCUGAACUUAAGCAUAUCAAUAAGCGGAGGA